RNAcentral lists this small nuclear RNA (172 nucleotides) under Brassica napus (rape). RNAcentral describes it as "snRNA U4". The stretch from base 1 to 111 matches the Rfam family "U4 spliceosomal RNA". Rfam says of the family: U4 small nuclear RNA (U4 snRNA) is a component of the major U2-dependent spliceosome. The structure of U4 snRNA from yeast and human has been reported. U4 snRNA presents a k-turn RNA motif in the 5p-SL related to recognition of Snu13 protein. The record is from RNAcentral. Lineage: Eukaryota; Viridiplantae; Streptophyta; Magnoliopsida; Brassicales; Brassicaceae.
AUCUUUGCGCUUGGGGCAGUGACGCAACUAAUGAGGUACUAACCGAAUGCGCGUCUAUUGCUGGUUGAAAACUAUUCCCAAACCCCCCCUCAUUUCUAAGUUAGACCCUAACCACUUUCUAUGCAUUUCGAUUGAUUACUCUACUUUUUUUCUUGUUUGAAUGAGUAAAAAA